AUGAACGCUGGCGGCGUGCCUAAUACAUGCAAGUCGGGCGAACAGAUGAGGAGCUUGCUCCUCUGACGUUAGCGGCGGACGGGUGAGUAACACGUGGAUAACCUACCUAUAAGACUGGGAUAACUUCGGGAAACCGGAGCUAAUACCGGAUAAUAUAUUGAACCGCAUGGUUCAAUAGUGAAAGACGGUUUUGCUGUCACUUAUAGAUGGAUCCGCGCCGCAUUAGCUAGUUGGUAAGGUAACGGCUUACCAAGGCAACGAUGCGUAGCCGACCUGAGAGGGUGAUCGGCCACACUGGAACUGAGACACGGUCCAGACUCCUACGGGAGGCAGCAGUAGGGAAUCUUCCGCAAUGGGCGAAAGCCUGACGGAGCAACGCCGCGUGAGUGAUGAAGGUCUUCGGAUCGUAAAACUCUGUUAUUAGGGAAGAACAAAUGUGUAAGUAACUAUGCACGUCUUGACGGUACCUAAUCAGAAAGCCACGGCUAACUACGUG
RNAcentral lists this ribosomal RNA (496 nucleotides) under uncultured bacterium. Its description in RNAcentral is "partial 16S ribosomal RNA". It matches the Rfam family "Bacterial small subunit ribosomal RNA", at positions 29 to 507 of the family's 1533-position model. The record is from RNAcentral.